GAUGACGCUCGCGCGUGGCGUACACAUGCAAGUCGAACGAGAAUCAACGGAGUUGAGGAUUACGGUCCAAAUGAAGUUGAGGAAAGUGGCUGACGGGUGAGUAACGCGUGAGGAACCUGCCUCGGAGUGGGGAAUAACAGUUGGAAACAGCUGCUAAUACCGCAUGAUGCAACGGAAUCGCAUGACUCUGUUGCCAAAGAUUUAUCGCUCUGAGAUGGCCUCGCGUCUGAUUAGCUAGUUGGCGGGGUAACGGCCCACCAAGGCGACGAUUCAGUAGCCGGACUGAGAGGUUGAACGGCCACAUUGGGACUGAGAUACGGCCCAG
Molecule: ribosomal RNA, 325 nt
Filed under: uncultured bacterium
Lineage: Bacteria
Description: bacterial SSU rRNA
Rfam family: Bacterial small subunit ribosomal RNA
Source: RNAcentral